GAUGAACGCUGGCGGCGUGCCUAAUACAUGCAAGUCGAGCGAACAGACGAGGAGCUUGCUCCUCUGACGUUAGCGGCGGACGGGUGAGUAACACGUGGAUAACCUACCUAUAAGACUGGGAUAACUUCGGGAAACCGGAGCUAAUACCGGAUAAUAUAUUGAACCGCAUGGUUCAAUAGUGAAAGACGGUUUUGCUGUCACUUAUAGAUGGAUCCGCGCCGCAUUAGCUAGUUGGUAAGGUAACGGCUUACCAAGGCAACGAUGCGUAGCCGACCUGAGAGGGUGAUCGGCCACACUAGAGCUGAGACACGGUCCAGACUCCUACGGGAGGCAGCAGUAGGGAAUCUUCCGCAAUGGGCGAAAGCUUGACGGAGCAACGCCGCGUGAGUGAUGAAGGUCUUCGGAUCGUAAAACUCUGUUAUUAGGGAAGAACAAAUGUGUAAGUAACUAUGCACGUCUUGACGGUACCUAAUCAGAAAGCCACGGCUAACUACGUG
RNAcentral lists this ribosomal RNA (497 nucleotides) under uncultured bacterium. Its description in RNAcentral is "partial 16S ribosomal RNA". It matches the Rfam family "Bacterial small subunit ribosomal RNA", at positions 28 to 507 of the family's 1533-position model. The record is from RNAcentral.